Small nucleolar RNA from Echinops telfairi (small Madagascar hedgehog), 147 nucleotides. RefSeq annotates it as small nucleolar RNA SNORA57. The transcript has a single exon. The record is from RefSeq and is a predicted model, not a curated record. Lineage: Eukaryota; Metazoa; Chordata; Mammalia; Afrosoricida; Tenrecidae.
CCUCCUUUUCUUGGCGGGGCCGGGCGUGCAGUCCCGGUCCCCAUAUGUACGGAGGCAGAGGGAGCGGACUCCAGUCCCCUCGGUGCCACAUCUUCGGUGCCAGUGGCUACCCAUCCGCUGGUUCUAUCCUCAAAUGCCGGGACAAUG